RNAcentral lists this small RNA (583 nucleotides) under pig gut metagenome. The record is from RNAcentral.
UAAUGAAUAAGAAGUGGUGCAUUAUUCUAGUCACAAUCCGUUGUUACGAAGACGAGCCUAAAAAUUCGUUAAUAGCACAUCUAUGAAGCGUCUGGUGCUUGCUUGAUACGCCCAGUAUUGGGUGGGUGCUGGACGGAAAGAAACCAUGGGCGCCUAUAAUGGCAUAUAGGGAACGACCCAUCUUUUCGCGGAGACCUAAACUUGUGGAUACCUAUCUACGACUUAGGAUUAAACCUAUCAUGUGGAGAAAUCUAUGGAUAGCGUAGCUUGGCUUGAGUGAUAAUUGGGGAUAGAGACAACUACUAAAAAGGUGUACAUCUUUUUAGUAGUAUUGCUACUUGAAACAGUUACUUGCAAAAAAGCAUAGUAAUAACAUCGAAUGUGCAAGAGGAAAACUCCUAGAGUGUACGAUUAAUGUAGGAUUGCAGUGUAUACUAAGUGGUAAUCAAGUCAUAGAAUUGGUGACAAUCUAUUGCUUCCUUUCAAGGGGAACCGCUUGCUGGUAACGGUAAGUAGGAAGUAGGGAAAUCCAACUUGACCUAAGGUACAAAGUUUACUAUAUUAGUUACCAUUUCUUAUUUUU